UCUCAGGUGGCUCAGUGGUAAAGCAUCCACUUGCAGUGCAGGAGACUCAGGUUCGAUCCCUGGGUUGGGAA
This 71-nucleotide transfer RNA is filed under the name Bos taurus (domestic cattle). It matches the Rfam family "tRNA". From Rfam's summary of the family: Transfer RNA (tRNA) molecules are approximately 80 nucleotides in length. Their secondary structure includes four short double-helical elements and three loops (D, anti-codon, and T loops). RNAcentral also lists the same sequence under 5 other names. The record is from Rfam by way of RNAcentral. Lineage: Eukaryota; Metazoa; Chordata; Mammalia; Artiodactyla; Bovidae.